Molecule: ribosomal RNA, 393 nt
Filed under: uncultured bacterium
Lineage: Bacteria
Description: partial 16S ribosomal RNA
Rfam family: Bacterial small subunit ribosomal RNA
Source: RNAcentral
AUACGGAGGAUGCAAGCGUUAUCCGGAUUUAUUGGGUUUAAAGGGUGCGUAGGCGGUUUGCUAAGCGGGAGGUGAAAUGCCGGCGCUCAACGUCGGAAGUGCCUCCCGAACUGGUGGACUUGAAUGACUCUGCCGUGGGAGGAAUGUGUAGUGUAGCGGUGAAAUGCUUAGAGAUUACACAGAACACCGAUUGCGAAGGCAUCUCACGAAGGGUUGAUUGACGCUGAGGCACGAAAGCGUGGGGAUCAAACAGGAUUAGAUUCCCUGGUAGUCCACGCAGUAAACGAUGAUGGCUAACCGCUGGACUUAUCAGUUCAGUGGCCAAGCGAAAGCGAUAAGCCAUCCACCUGGGGAGUACGGUCGCAAGGCUGAAACUCAAAUGAAUUGACGGGG